RNAcentral lists this transfer RNA (72 nucleotides) under Fusarium graminearum. RNAcentral's name for it is "tRNA-Glu (TTC) (tRNA-Glu-TTC-1 1 to 4)". It matches the Rfam family "tRNA". From Rfam's summary of the family: Transfer RNA (tRNA) molecules are approximately 80 nucleotides in length. Their secondary structure includes four short double-helical elements and three loops (D, anti-codon, and T loops). RNAcentral also lists the same sequence under 3 other names. Lineage: Eukaryota; Fungi; Ascomycota; Sordariomycetes; Hypocreales; Nectriaceae. The record is from RNAcentral.
UCCGGUGUGGUGUAUCGGUUAGCAUACCGCGUUUUCACCGCGGCGAGCGGGGUUCGAUUCCCCGCACCGGAG